This 504-nucleotide small RNA is filed under the name Pongo abelii (Sumatran orangutan). Its description in RNAcentral is "retained intron". The record is from RNAcentral. Lineage: Eukaryota; Metazoa; Chordata; Mammalia; Primates; Hominidae.
CCAGCAUUUCUUGGGCAGGCUUCUUAUGUGGCCAUAUUUUCUUUUCUAGCUCCUCCCUGCUAUAUGGAUAUCAUUCCUGAAGAUCACCGAUUGGAGAGCCCCACCACUCCUCUGCUAGAUGACAUGGAUGGCUCUCAAGACAGCCCUAUCUUUAUGUAUGCCCCUGAGUUCAAGUUCAUGCCACCACCUACUUAUACUGAGGUGGAUCCCUGUAUCCUCAACAACAACGUGCAGUGAGCAUGUGGAAGAAAAGCAGCUUUACCUACUUGUUUCUUUUUGUCUCUUCCUGGACACUCACUUUUUCAGAGACUCAACAGUCUCUGCAAUGGAGUGUGGAUCCACCUUAGCCUCUGACUUCCUAAUGUAGGAGGUGGUCAGCAGGCAAUCUCCUGGGCCUUAAAGGAUGCGGACUUAUCCUCAGCCAGCACCAAUGUUGUGAUACAGGGGUGUUUGUUGGAUGGGUUUAAAAACGACUAGAAAAAUUCAGGCCCAUGCAUUUUCUCA